AAAUAUAUAUAAAAUAUAGACUUAUCAAAUACCCCCAAACCUAUCUUUUGCUAGUCCUCGAGUAAAACUGAAAAUCAAAAAUAAAUUAAAACAAACAAACUAAAUUAAACCACUUUCGUAGGUAAUCUCGAUGGCACUUAGCAUGUGCCACAAGCCUUUAAACCUCUAGGUGUCCCUAGUAGGAGGAGUUGUGUCUCCUGAGGGUUUACCAGUCACGACACCCACAAACACUUCUUGCAAAACAAAUUCGUUAAAGCAAUACUUCCAACAAACUAAUAAUAACCAAUGAACGCCAAUCACAGUUCAAAAACCAAAGUUAUGCCACUACAAAUAAAAUGCACCAUAGUGUAAAGUGUAAAGCCAAAACUCCAAGCAUUCAAACAUAAAGAUAACCACAUUCGGCGUGUGUACAAAUUCGUCUCAACUCUAGGCCUCACAGGAUAACUCUCAAUUUUCUCACAUAACCUAGGGUUGCACUCUUACCCCGCAUAUGUGAAUGAAGUUAGGUGAAGAAUUCAAAAUAUAAGACACAUAUGCAUCCAAAAAUGAAUAAAAGGCAAUUUCUAAAAAUAGAACUCAUGGAAAGGAAAUCAAAUACUAAAAACCAUAGAUGAAGUACAUACCUCUACUUCCGAGUAAGAAGCCCCCAAAAAUCCGUUAGGUCUUUACUAUGGUUGUAAUGAAGGGCUAGGUUAUGGGUUAUGAAAGAAAGGGAAGGAAAUACUAGAACUUGAAACAUACCAAGGCAUUUAUCACGUUAUAAGGCUCGGCUCUUCAAAUUUACUUCACAGAGGCGUCUAGGAUUUUUGAUAUGCUUUACAUUUUUUUUUCUUUAAUAGAUUUCUCUCUUUUUGUUUUUUUUGUUUUUUUUGUUUUUAUUUAUUUAUUUAUUUUUAAGCACAUAUUUCCUCGGUACACGCCACCUCUUUUGUUGAUGUAGAGAUUAACCUUCAUCCUUGUCUUCAUGCCAUGGCAUAUCCCAAGUUAUAGGGUAUGGCUAAAAAUAGGGUGAAAAGGGUAAGGAAAUAUUGUGGGUGAUGAAAGAAAAGGCUAAGUGUUUGGCUUCAAAGGGUUGAUGGCACACACAAUGGGUAGGACAUGAGGUUUUAUUUAGUGGCUAGAACAUGCAUAGCCUAAGAUCAUCUCUCAAGGUCCAUCCAACUCAAAAGUAAAAGCAUGAGAUGAUUCCAAAAUAGAGAUUAGUUCUUAGUAUUCAAUUCAAAAGCCUAAUUGAGAUCAAUUUAAAUAAGAAAGAAAGAAAAUAGUGAAUAAGACUAAUCCCAAAUACUCUCUCAAUGAAUGGCAAUUUGGCUCAAGUAUCUCACAAUGGUAGUCUCCACUAUUUCUCCACAAUCAUCCAAGUGUAGCUAGCUUGUCUAUUAAAAUACUUGAAGCAUGGCCAUGUGAAGUGCUAUACUUAUGAUGCAUAAACUUUCAUGGCAACACUUUAGUUAAAGAAAUAUGAUCAAACAUCACACAUACAUCACUAUUAGUAAGAGAAAGUAAAAGCUUUAACAAAAUUUUUAUUUUUUUUUUAUUUUUAAAAGUUAAAGGCAUUUUGUGAUUUUUUUUUUUCAAACAAAUGUGAGUGAAUUUAUGGGCCAUAAUUGCUUAGGGAUAAAGAAAUUUCAUCAAAAGGAAGAGGACACACCUGGAAUAGCUCCUAGAAGCCUCUGAUCACAAAUGGAAUGGAUCAUAAUUGAUUUGGAAUGAAAUUAGAAAAUUCUGGAGCGACGAAAAAUCUGAUGAACACCGUCGCUAAAAACCCUUUAGCAACGAAAAAUCCGAUGAACACCGUCGCUAAAAACCCUUUUGUGACGAAAAAGCUUCAUAUUUCUGGGUAGAUAGCAGCUAGUCUUUUUUGGGUUUUAGGCCACUUUUUUAGCUUCAAAUCU
RNAcentral lists this long non-coding RNA (1895 nucleotides) under Prunus persica (peach). RNAcentral's name for it is "long non-coding RNA (PPER_LNC005809)". The record is from RNAcentral. Lineage: Eukaryota; Viridiplantae; Streptophyta; Magnoliopsida; Rosales; Rosaceae.